AUGGAUGUAUCGAAUGCAUUUCUGCACGGCCAUAUUGCCGAGCAGGUCUUCUGUCAGCAGCCCACUGGUUUUGUCGAUGCGGCUCAUCCUGAUCAUGUAUGCUUGCUCUCAUGUUCCUUGUACGGAUUUAAGCAGGCACCUCGCGCCUGGUACCAGCGCAUCGCCGCCUUCCUACAGCAGCUUGGGUUCCAAGCUACUCGCUCCGACGCCUUGCUGUUUGUAUACGACCAGGGUGCUCCUUUACGUCGACGACAUCAUCUUGACAGCGACCGAGCUUCUUUGUCAGCUUACUGCCCGCCUCAGCGCCGAGUUCGCCAUUAA
This 321-nucleotide ribosomal RNA is filed under the name Triticum aestivum (bread wheat). RNAcentral describes it as "partial small subunit ribosomal RNA". Lineage: Eukaryota; Viridiplantae; Streptophyta; Magnoliopsida; Poales; Poaceae. The record is from RNAcentral.